RNAcentral lists this ribosomal RNA (257 nucleotides) under uncultured prokaryote. Its description in RNAcentral is "partial 16S ribosomal RNA". It matches the Rfam family "Bacterial small subunit ribosomal RNA", at positions 524 to 780 of the family's 1533-position model. The record is from RNAcentral.
UACGGAGGAUGCGAGCGUUAUCCGGAUUUAUUGGGUUUAAAGGGUGCGUAGGCGGAUUAAUAAGUCAGUGGUGAAAUCCUGCAGCUUAACUGUGGAACUGCCAUUGAUACUGUUAGUCUUGAGUAUGGUCAAGGUAGGCGGAAUGUGUAAUGUAGCGGUGAAAUGCUUAGAUAUUACACAGAACACCAAUUGCGUAGGCAGCUUACUGAGCCGACACUGACGCUGAGGCACGAAAGCGUGGGGAUCAAACAGGAUUA